GGAAACAGAAGAGGAGCGCCUACUAGGUAGUGAGUUUGAGGAUACCAAUAUCCAAUGACAACUCACGAGGGAGAUAGGCGCCGAGGUUAACGCGAGAUUGGUAUGGCGUUCACCGGUUGGUCAGGCUGAAUCCUGACGACUGUCACCGUAUUUUUGGUGGAGAGCUUCUGGUGUG
Molecule: non-coding RNA, 175 nt
Filed under: Shewanella sp.
Lineage: Bacteria; Pseudomonadati; Pseudomonadota; Gammaproteobacteria; Alteromonadales; Shewanellaceae
Also listed under: 1 other name
Description: Lysine sequence
Rfam family: Lysine riboswitch aptamer
About the family: Riboswitches are metabolite binding domains within certain messenger RNAs that serve as precision sensors for their corresponding targets. Allosteric rearrangement of mRNA structure is mediated by ligand binding, and this results in modulation of gene expression.
Source: RNAcentral